Molecule: ribosomal RNA, 497 nt
Filed under: uncultured bacterium
Lineage: Bacteria
Description: partial 16S ribosomal RNA
Rfam family: Bacterial small subunit ribosomal RNA
Source: RNAcentral
GAUGAACGCUGGCGGCGUGCCUAAUACAUGCAAGUCGAGCGAACGGACGAGGAGCUUGCUUCUCUGAUGUUAGCGGCGGACGGGUGAGUAACACGUGGAUAACCUACCUAUAAGACUGGGAUAACUUCGGGAAACCGGAGCUAAUACCGGAUAAUAUUUUGAACCGCAUGGUUCAAAAGUGAAAGACGGUCUUGCUGUCACUUAUAGAUGGAUCCGCGCUGCAUUAGCUAGUUGGUAAGGUAACGGCUUACCAAGGCAACGAUGCAUAGCCGACCUGAGAGGGUGAUCGGCCACACUGGAACUGAGACACGGUCCAGAUUCCUACGGGAGGCAGCAGUAGGGAAUCUUCCGCAAUGGGCGAAAGCCUGACGGAGCAACGCCGCGUGAGUGAUGAAGGUCUUCGGAUCGUAAAACUCUGUUAUUAGGGAAGAACAUAUGUGUAAGUAACUGUGCACAUCUUGACGGUACCUAAUCAGAAAGCCACGGCUAACUACGUG